RNAcentral lists this ribosomal RNA (1365 nucleotides) under bacterium 404. RNAcentral's name for it is "16S ribosomal RNA". It matches the Rfam family "Bacterial small subunit ribosomal RNA". The record is from RNAcentral.
CCUGGCUCAGGAUGAACGCUGGCGGCGUGCUUAACACAUGCAAGUCGAACGAUGAUGCCCACUUGUGGGUGGAUUAGUGGCGAACGGGUGAGUAACACGUGAGUAACCUGCCCUUGACUCUGGGAUAAGCCUGGGAAACUGGGUCUAAUACCGGAUAUGACCUUCCAUCGCAUGGUGGUUGGUGGAAAGCUUUUGUGGUUUUGGAUGGACUCGCGGCCUAUCAGCUUGUUGGUGGGGUAAUGGCCUACCAAGGCGACGACGGGUAGCCGGCCUGAGAGGGUGACCGGCCACACUGGGACUGAGACACGGCCCAGACUCCUACGGGAGGCAGCAGUGGGGAAUAUUGCACAAUGGGCGCAAGCCUGAUGCAGCGACGCCGCGUGAGGGAUGACGGCCUUCGGGUUGUAAACCUCUUUCAGUAGGGAAGAAGCGUAAGUGACGGUACCUGCAGAAGAAGCGCCGGCUAACUACGUGCCAGCAGCCGCGGUAAUACGUAGGGCGCAAGCGUUAUCCGGAAUUAUUGGGCGUAAAGAGCUCGUAGGCGGUUUGUCGCGUCUGCCGUGAAAGUCCGGGGCUCAACUCCGGAUCUGCGGUGGGUACGGGCAGACUAGAGUGAUGUAGGGGAGACUGGAAUUCCUGGUGUAGCGGUGAAAUGCGCAGAUAUCAGGAGGAACACCGAUGGCGAAGCAGGUCUCUGGGCAUUAACUGACGCUGAGAGCGAAAGCAUGGGGAGCGAACAGGAUUAGAUACCCUGGAGUCCAUGCCGUAAACGUUGGGCACUAGGUGUGGGGGACAUUCCACGUUUUCCGCGCCGUAGCUAACGCAUUAAGUGCCCCGCCUGGGGAGUACGGCCGCAAGGCUAAAACUCAAAGGAAUUGACGGGGGCCCGCACAAGCGGCGGAGCAUGCGGAUUAAUUCGAUGCAACGCGAAGAACCUUACCAAGGCUUGACAUGAACCGGAAAGACCUGGAAACAGGUCCCCCACUUGUGGUCGGUUUACAGGUGGUGCAUGGUUGUCGUCAGCUCGUGUCGUGAGAUGUUGGGUUAAGUCCCGCAACGAGCGCAACCCUCGUUCUAUGUUGCCAGCACGUGAUGGUGGGGACUCAUAGGAGACUGCCGGGGUCAACUCGGAGGAAGGUGGGGACGACGUCAAAUCAUCAUGCCCCUUAUGUCUUGGGCUUCACGCAUGCUACAAUGGCCGGUACAAAGGGUUGCGAUACUGUGAGGUGGAGCUAAUCCCAAAAAGCCGGUCUCAGUUCGGAUUGGGGUCUGCAACUCGACCCCAUGAAGUCGGAGUCGCUAGUAAUCGCAGAUCAGCAACGCUGCGGUGAAUACGUUCCCGGGCCUUGUACACACCGCCCGUCA